GGGAGGAGACUCGCCACGCCACCUCAUCUUUAGGAAACUCUGAAGCCCUGGCUUCUUGUGGAAUGUAGGGCUUUGUCCGGCACUUGGAGUGUAGGGGGAGCAAAAGCCAGAAUCUCCACCCCCCCACCCCCAAGAAUGGUAAAGUCAUCAGCAGUUGGGGGAAAAAAUUCCUCAAGAAGAAAAACAGAAAGAGGAAAGUGCUGAGCUCUGAGUUCUGUCUCUCUCCAAAUUUCCCCAAAUGUUUCCCCUCAUGAGGGAGGGAGAGGACCCGUCUGGGCUCUGAAGUCUGGAACAGGAGCAGAGGCUGCCCAGGUAUAAAUGUACCAGGCCUUCCAGAGUUCACUCUGCCCAUCUACAGAAGCAGCUGAGGUGGGAGAGGACGGCAUGAGAGACAAGACCACCGUAUCAUUCCAGCCCCAAUCGGAGAGUCCCAGACAACAGCUCCAGGCUCUCAGCUGGGCCCUGUGGCCCGAGGGGGAAGGGAGCAUGGUGGGCAGGGAGGAACUGCCACCUGGAAGGGCUUGAUGGGAACCAGCUGGCUGGGGUGGGGCCUUGGGAGUGUGGGUUGCGGGGAGGGCGGGGCCGGAGGCCACAGUGGGCGGGCAACUGACAGCUCAGGGCUGGGAGUGGCUGCUGGAGGCCCCCACCUUCCCUGAGGCUGGAGUCCAGAUGCCUCCACAGCCGUCCAGGCUCUUCCAACCCGCUGACCUCAUUCCCAGCUCCCUCCCGUGCAGCCCCCCUCAAUUGUCUGCCACGUAGACUGGAGCCUCAGCAACAAUCUCCGUAGGGGUGGCUGCGAGAGGAGCCAGGCACACUUAGCCCAGGAAACCUGCUAAGCCGGAGGGAGCUAGGGAAGGUAGCUGUGACCACUCGGUGCCUCAGUUUCCCCUCCCCAAACACGAGUCCCAGUGAAUGGAGAAGAGCGAGGUGUGAAGCGGGUUACAGUUGCUAAACAAGACUCAAGGUGUUGGGGGACCCUAGAGGUCACCCCAACCAUCCCUCAGUGUCUUGGGUCUGGAGUGUAUUGCUCUCAAGAAGGGGCAGAGGUGCGUGCGCAGGCUGGGGGUGUGUGUGUGGGGUCCCUCCUUUGUCAAAGGAAGUUCCCAGAAAGUUUGAAAUCCUUUGUGAAAUCUAGGCCCCCCCCCCCCCCCCCGCCACCUCAGGCUGCAUUAGGCUACAAUUUGCCAUUUUAUAGCAGAGAUAUAGUGAGACGAAUGUAGUGUCCUCUCCCUAGGCACCUUAGGGACCUCACCGUGAGUCCCUGGACUGAGCUCUCUCUACCUCUGACCUCUGUUUCUCCCUUGCCUCCCUGUCUCAGAGUGAGUGUCCCAGUUGACCCUGACUGACCAGGAAGCCAUCCCCAUUCCUGCUGGCCCACAGAGUUCCAGGCUUGUGAGUCAUCGGGGAAUGUCUGUUCUGCCUGCAGCUCCCAAACUCUAAGCCAGGGACCCUCUUGUUUGACAGGAGUCCUGGAAGCAGAGAGGAAGUCUUGCUUAAAGGAAAUCCACAAGUGAGCCAGAGGGCUUGGCCUCUCCCAGAGACGGUCCCUGCCUAAUGGCCGGCUUCAUCCAAGGUGGGGGAGCGGCAGACCUGCAGCGAUGGGACAGUUGAUCGUGGAAGGAAUCGGUGAGCCCAAGCAGAUCUUCCCUCCUUCAAACCUUUUCAGGGUACCCUCAUCACUUACCAGUUUCUCUGUGCCCUGUGGGAACAGGAGAAGUUGGAAGUGCAGCCACCUAUAAUCAGAAUGGACAUCUAUGCCUGAGUGGGGCCCAUUCCUUGUGGGGCGGGUCAGAGGGUCUAGGUCAGCCCCAGGAAAGAUCAGGGCCCCUGCGUGCUCACGUGUGCGCAAUGUACUGUAGUAUAUAUACAAGUAUACACGUGUAUAGGCGAGUGGGGGUGUCACCUGCCCAUAUAUGUGUAUGUGAAGGCCAGGGGUCAAUGUUGGUUGUCUUUCUCACUUGCUUGUCACUGGGGAGAUUGGCUGUCUAAUAAAAAGCACCCAGAAUCUU
This 2009-nucleotide small RNA is filed under the name Rattus norvegicus (Norway rat). RNAcentral's name for it is "uncharacterized LOC102556395". The record is from RNAcentral. Lineage: Eukaryota; Metazoa; Chordata; Mammalia; Rodentia; Muridae.